AGCGAACGCUGGCGGCAUGCUUAACACAUGCAAGUUGCACGGGCAGCAAUGUCAGUGGCGGACGGGUGAGUAACGCGUAGGAACGUGUCCUGAGGUGGGGGACAACCCCGGGAAACUGGGGCUAAUACCGCAUAUGGGCUGAGGCCCAAAGCCGAGAGGCGCCUUUGGAGCGGCCUGCGUCCGAUUAGGUAGUUGGUGGGGUAAAGGCCUACCAAGCCUGCGAUCGGUAGCUGGUCUGAGAGGACGACCAGCCACACUGGGACUGAGACACGGCCCAGACUCCUACGGGAGGCAGCAGUGGGGAAUAUUGGACAAUGGGCGAAAGCCUGAUCCAGCAAUGCCGCGUGGGUGAAGAAGGUCUUCGGAUCGUAAAGCCCUUUCGACGGGGACGAUGAUGACGGUACCCGUAGAAGAAGCCCCGGCUAACUUCGUG
Molecule: ribosomal RNA, 433 nt
Filed under: uncultured bacterium
Lineage: Bacteria
Description: partial 16S ribosomal RNA
Rfam family: Bacterial small subunit ribosomal RNA
Source: RNAcentral